GCCGCCGCUGGCCGGCUGGUGGGAGGCUAGCGAUCUCUCCGAGACGGCAAGGCUUGGCCUUGUUCCAGAUGCGGCGGCGGCC
This 82-nucleotide transfer RNA is filed under the name Beijerinckiaceae bacterium. Its description in RNAcentral is "tRNA-Ala". Lineage: Bacteria; Pseudomonadati; Pseudomonadota; Alphaproteobacteria; Hyphomicrobiales; Beijerinckiaceae. The record is from RNAcentral.